AGUAGCCUGCCCAUAAGAGGGGGAUAAUCCAUGGAAACGUGGACUAAUACCGCAUAUUGUAGUCAAGUCGCAUGACUAGAUUAUGAAAGAUUUAUCGCUUAUGGAUGGACUCGCGUCAGAUUAGAUAGUUGGUGAGGUAACGGCUCACCAAGUCAACGAUCUGUAGCCGAACUGAGAGGUUGAUCGGCCGCAUUGGGACUGAGACACGGCCCAG
RNAcentral lists this ribosomal RNA (214 nucleotides) under uncultured bacterium. Its description in RNAcentral is "partial 16S ribosomal RNA". It matches the Rfam family "Bacterial small subunit ribosomal RNA", at positions 120 to 334 of the family's 1533-position model. The record is from RNAcentral.